This 1363-nucleotide long non-coding RNA is filed under the name Olea europaea (common olive). RNAcentral describes it as "long non-coding RNA (OEUR_LNC000391)". Lineage: Eukaryota; Viridiplantae; Streptophyta; Magnoliopsida; Lamiales; Oleaceae. The record is from RNAcentral.
GAUGACCCCAUUUUCCAGCAUGGACAUAUACAAAAUCAAUUGUUUCAUGAUCUAAUGCUAUUUGAGAAUCAAAUUCCAUUUUUCAUCGUUGAUUGUUUGUUCAAUAUGAUCAUUGAUGGGGGCAUCAAUAUUAUAAUACGGCCUUUACUACGAAAUAGAAUUUUCCCAGUGCGAAAUGAAGAUUUUCCUGAAGUCCCUAUUAAUGGUCACCAUCUUCUUGGCAUUGUACAUGACAUCCAGUGUUCUUCAUCUGCAAGGAUAUUCUCUGAUGUGGAAUCUGGAAAUCCUGCAAAGAUGUUAUCUAAAAUAAAUUCUGGAAAUCCAGGAUCUCCAAUUUUCAGGGUGAAUAUAAAUUCAGUUGAAGAGCUCACAGUCUGGGGCAGAGCCAGGAAUUUUGUUCAGUGUGGGCAAAAUUUAAUCAAAGUCGAAAUUUUCGAUUAUGGAUUUAAUGAUAUUAUGACAAUGCUAAAAAUAACAUAAUGACAACACUAAUAAGAUAAUUAUCUUCUUCCUUAUUCUAGGAUCUAUAGCAAGUUGUGCAACAUCAAAAUUCAUUUUAUUCGCUAUCUUCACAUCAACAUUUUCUACGAAAUAUUUUCUUUUAAAGAACUCUGCAUUGACACUUCACACUAAAAUAAACCACAAGUGACAAUUAAGUACUAAUUGAUAAGAAAAGAACUACUAAUUUUUACAAAUUGGUAGAACACCAUAAAAUCAUUACUAAUUAUUUAAAUAAUUGACAAAAAUCAAAAUUUCAAGAAUCAAUCACAAAUAUUACCAAUAUUUAACAUUCACAUAAUCAAAAUCCUUAAUAUUAAAUAGAAAAAUCACAUGAUAAAGAAAAUUUUUGUUGCAAAUUUGAGGGUCCAAAAACAUGUGAGUUUUAGGAAAGAAAUGGACUUUGAAAAUAUUUCAAAACGAGAGCACAUUUAAAGAAAAUUUUUUAAUUUCCUGUUGAGGGAAGAGAGUCAGAAAAUGUCACCGUACACUUGGAGUUGGGGCAAAUUAGUGUAUGGAUUGGACUUUAAAUAAAUGAAAAACAUACCUUAUAAAAAAAAAAGAAAAAAAAUUGACCAUGGGCUUGGGCCAAAAGUCCAAUGCGGACAUUUGCCUGCACUGGACUGUGCAUGGCUCCGCUCACAGAGGCAGGGAUUUCCUUCAAAAAGUUGAAAGCUAACAGUUUGUUUGAUAUUAAAUUUGAGAAUAAAGUUAUGAAGAUUCCAGAAUGGGAAAUUUUUGAUUCAACAGAAUCAUUGUUCCGAAAUCUGAUUGCAUAUGAGUACUACCUCACAGGCAGUCCUCAAAAACUUGUGACCGACUACGUAUUCUUCAUGCAUUGUCUCGUCAAUUCCCCCGAAGAUGC